AUGUCAUGGCAUAAUCUUUUGUCCCGGUUGGAUUCGAUUAACCUGACACAAGGUCGGGAUGUGUUUCGCUGGAACCUUACUACAUCAGGGUCUUUUACAGUAGACUCUAUGUACCGUGCGCUCACAUAUUCUGAGGUACCAAUGAGUAAUAACAAGAAAAUUUGGAAGUCCAAGAUUCCACUAAAAGUGAAAAUUUUCAUGUGGUAUCUUCGUAAGGGAGUUGUGUUGACCAAAGACAACCUCGCACGACGCAACUGGCCAGGGAGUAAGAAGUGUUGUUUUUGUACUCAUGACGAGACAAUCAAACACCUCUUUUUCCAAUGCAAGUUUGCACGUUCUACGUGGUCAAUCAUCCAAAUAGCAUCAAAUUUAUAUCUGCCCACAAGUGUUGCCAAUAUAUUUGGUCACUGGUUGGACGGUAUUCCAAAUAGGUUUAAAGCGCUUAUAAGGGUGGGAGUGUACGCCUUAAUUUGGUCGCUCUGGCUAUGUAGAAACAAUUUGGUUUUUAAUGGAAAAAAUGCUUCUCCUCUGCAGGUUAUUUUCCGUUGUACGCACUCGCUUCAUACGUGGUCUAUGCUACAACGAUCGGAGCACCAAUCGCUGUUCAAGGCGGUGUGUACGCGGUUGGAGCAGGUGGCUACGGAGGUUUUUUCCCAACAUGGGUGGCAGCAUAACCUCCGGAUCGAUCCACCACCACCUUCGACACAGGCAUAG
RNAcentral lists this ribosomal RNA (714 nucleotides) under Triticum aestivum (bread wheat). RNAcentral describes it as "partial small subunit ribosomal RNA". The record is from RNAcentral. Lineage: Eukaryota; Viridiplantae; Streptophyta; Magnoliopsida; Poales; Poaceae.